GCCCAUCUGCCUCAGUGGUAGAACAUCUGCUUUUCAUGCAGAAGGUUUCAAGUUCAAUUCCUGCCAUCUCCA
This 72-nucleotide transfer RNA is filed under the name Sphaerodactylus townsendi. RNAcentral describes it as "tRNA-Glu". The record is from RNAcentral. Lineage: Eukaryota; Metazoa; Chordata; Lepidosauria; Squamata; Sphaerodactylidae.